Molecule: long non-coding RNA, 677 nt
Organism: Lycium barbarum (goji berry)
Lineage: Eukaryota; Viridiplantae; Streptophyta; Magnoliopsida; Solanales; Solanaceae
Exons: 3
Source: RefSeq, a predicted model, not a curated record
CCACAUGAGAGGGGCACGUGUGGGGGCUUGAGAGUCUCACAUAUUAGUCAUCAAAUGAUUCACUAAGUAUCAUUCAUGAUGGAUGAACAAGAACAAAAAAAAAAAAAAGCUCGGCCAUGGAGCAAUGUUUACCGAGGUGGAGAUUGGAGAAAGGAAAAUUUGAGGUGUGAAAUUGUUAUAACAUUCAAGUGAUUAGCAAGGUUAAGAAGCCAAGUUGAUUAAGGCUAAAAGAGCGACGAGACGAACGGGUUACGAAUAGCCGCUAACAGGUACAGACGCACAGUUUGGUGAUCCACCAGUUUAGGACAUCCUCUUCUGCUGUUUGGAGUGCUCCUCUUAUUCCGGAGCCUACAUUUUGGUAUAUAUACUUGUUUGAUGCAUAUGUAUAUAUUUGUUCAGGGGUACGACGGGGCCCUGUUCCGCCAUAUGAUCUGUUUGGUCUGUUUAGAGGUCUGUAGACGUAUUUGUGGGUGUGUGUGCCUACUUCUGUACAAAUGUGUUUGUAUGACCCUGUUCGUUAUGGCAGCCUUGUCGGCGUGCACUUUGUAUAUGUUUUGGGCCGUUGCGCCAUCUGUUAGCCUUGUCGGCUUUUGAUACAUUUGAUAGCCUUGCCGGCUUUUCGAUAUAAGUAUAUGUAUAUGUUUGCGCUGAAAUGUGUCCGAUACAGUUUGACAUAG